AAAUAAAACUAUGAGUAUGACUACAGAGUCUCUAGGCAUCCCCUUCGUCGUCCUCCUGCGGAACGGGCUCGGGAACCAUGUCUUCCUGAUCUGAAAUGGUUAAAUAAGGAGUGAGAUACGCUAGCCCAGUAAGAACAUCACGAUAUCUCACCGUCACGGAGGUAAAGGUGGGUAGAAAAACACAAAAAGACCAAUGGAGCAUAAUUUACAAUAAACUCGUUUAUUAACAUGAAAACCUUCACCAUCCACUUACCUCGGUGGAAUUUAUGAAAACAAUAUAAGAAAAAUAAUAACAUUAUCAUAAUCAUGGAAUAAUAUAAGCUGUAAAACAUAACACUUAUCACGCCUCUUGUAAUUCAAUCCUUGUACAACAUAUCUUUUUCUCAUUUACCAGCCUACUAGUAU
RNAcentral lists this long non-coding RNA (405 nucleotides) under Carica papaya (papaya). RNAcentral describes it as "long non-coding RNA (CPAP_LNC015721)". Lineage: Eukaryota; Viridiplantae; Streptophyta; Magnoliopsida; Brassicales; Caricaceae. The record is from RNAcentral.